Molecule: ribosomal RNA, 490 nt
Filed under: uncultured bacterium
Lineage: Bacteria
Description: partial 16S ribosomal RNA
Rfam family: Bacterial small subunit ribosomal RNA
Source: RNAcentral
AUUGAACGCUGGCGGCAGGCCUAACACAUGCAAGUCGAACGGUAACACGAAGCUGCUUGCUGCUUCGCUGACGAGUGGCGUACGUGUUAGUAAUGUCUGUGCCGCUUCCUGAUGGAGGGGGCUACCUACUGGAAAUUGUUGCUACUACCGCAUAAUGUCGCAAGACCAGAGAGCGUGACCUUCCGGCCUCUUGCCCUCGCCUGUGUCCAGAUGGGAUUAGCUUGUUGGUGGGGUAACGGCUCACCAAGGCGACGAUCCGUAGCUGGUCUGAGAGGAUGACCAGCCACACUGGGACUGAGACACGGUCCAGACUCCUACGGGAGGCAGCAGUGGGGAAUAUUGCACAAUGGGCGCAAGCCUGAUGCAGCCAUGCCGCGUGUAUGAAGAAGGCCUUCGGGUUGUAAAGUACUUUCAGCGGGGAGGAAGGGAGUAAAGUUAAUACCUUUGCUGAUUGACGGUACCCGCAGAAGAAGCACCGGCUAACUCCGUG